Molecule: ribosomal RNA, 470 nt
Filed under: uncultured organism
Description: partial 16S ribosomal RNA
Rfam family: Bacterial small subunit ribosomal RNA
Source: RNAcentral
ACUCCUGCGGGAGGCAGCAGUGAGGAAUAUUGGACAAUGGGUGGAAGCCUGAUCCAGCCAUCCCGCGUGCAGGAAGACGGCCCUAUGGGUUGUAAACUGCUUUUAUCUGGGGAUAAACCUACUUACGUGUAAGUAGCUGAAGGUACCAGAAGAAUAAGCACCGGCUAACUCCGUGCCAGCAGCCGCGGUAAUACGGAGGGUGCAAGCGUUAUCCGGAUUUAUUGGGUUUAAAGGGUCCGUAGGCGGACUGAUAAGUCAGUGGUGAAAUCCGACAGCUUAACUGUCGAACUGCCAUUGAUACUGUUAGUCUUGAGUAAGGUUGAAGUGGCUGGAAUAAGUAGUGUAGCGGUGAAAUGCAUAGAUAUUACUUAGAACACCAAUUGCGAAGGCAGGUCACUAAGUCUUAACUGACGCUGAUGGACGAAAGCGUGGGGAGCGAACAGGAUUAGAAACCCUUGUAGUCCCAUGAU